Molecule: long non-coding RNA, 1264 nt
Organism: Amaranthus tricolor (Joseph's coat)
Lineage: Eukaryota; Viridiplantae; Streptophyta; Magnoliopsida; Caryophyllales; Amaranthaceae
Exons: 3
Source: RefSeq, a predicted model, not a curated record
UUUCUAAUAACCCAGCAAUACCCCCAAACAUUUGUUCUUCUCUCUUUUUCGAUUAACCCAUCAAGUAAGGCAACCAAGAACCUUCAUCAUCUUCUUCUUUCAAGCCAUUCGAAUCAGUCUUCAUCCCGCUCACUAUCUCCAAAUUCGAACCAGAGUCCAAAAAAGGAAAACUAAUAGAAGCAAUUUCUUCCUUCUAGCACUCGAAAUUAGGGCAACAAAGUUUCAGUCAUCUUCUACCUCAAGUUCUCACAAGAACCAUUGCAAGAUCUCCUCUCAUGCCGUUAUUUUCGGAUAGACUUAGACACUCCAUGAAUGUUCUUUUCUCCUUGAUUGAUUUUUGGUGUAAACAAAAUUAAGAUUUGAAUCUCUCAAUCUCUAUGUGUUAUUUUACUCCAUUCUCUCUCAUUCUUUUGAUUUUCCUCUCAAGAAUCGAACUUUAGCCCAUUUUUGAUUGGAUUUUUAAGUAACAUCAACAUUUUUGUGGUUAUUUUCUUCCAUUGAAGGAGAAUUCAUAAAGCAGCGAUCGAUUUCCCUUCCAAGUCCUUCGAAAUUCUGCCGAAUUGGGAAAAACAAAUAAGAUUCGAUUCUGUUUGAUUAAGCAUCGAGCUUCAAGCUGGAAAUUUAUUUCGGAAUCUGAUUUUUUGUUCCAUAUCAGUGCUACCGUCAAACAGAAGGAGGCGACAUCAUCGAGGAACCCUUCUAGUGAUCGCAGCGAACUAGACUUAGCUUUUUGAAGCAUUUUUUUUUUGUUUGUUUACAGAUCGGAACCAGUCGGGAAUGAUGGAUUAGCGGAGGUGAUUAGAGUUUUCCAAGGAUGUUAUAAUGAGCUUAGCACGUUAGAAUUUUGUAGUUCAAAUUAAGCCUUGGUAAUUGUAUAUUAGUCUAGACUGUAUUGGUUAUCUUGGGAAGUAAACCCCGUGAUGACUCUGUUUACUCAGUCAAUGAUAAGUUAGGUUAUUACAGGGUCGACCUAAUUCACGCGUGUAACAAUAUCACACAUUUUCCCUUGUUUUUUCCAUUUUCUGUACAUUUAUCAAUUUUGACCUUAAAGGUAUCAAAUUCAACGUAAAGUAAUCCUUAAACAUAUCAAUUAAAGUAAAAAUUUCAAUUUGAACCUUUAAGUGAUCAAUUUUGACGUUAAACUGAUCAAUUUCUACCUAAAUAUAUAUGGUUUUGUUUCACAAUUUUAGAACAAAGUUAUAUAAAAUAGUAUUAUUCUAUCAUUCUGUGGAUGAAUUUCAAACAACAAAUAAAUGGUCAAUAA